CCCUUAGAUGUUCUGGGCCGCACGCGCGCUACACUGACGAAUGCAACGAGCUUAUAACCUUGGCCGAAAGGUCUGGGUAAUCUCCAAAUUUCGUCGUGAUGGGGAUAGAUUAUUGCAAUUAUUAAUCUUCAACGAGGAAUGCCUAGUAAGCGCAAGUCAUCAGCUUGCGUUGAUUACGUCCCUGCCCUUUGUACACACCGCCCGUCGCUCCUACUGAUUGAAUGGUCCGGUGAAGCGUUCGGACCGUGGCCUUUGGACGGUUCGCCGUCUGUUGGCUGCGGGAAGUUCGUUAAACCUUAUCAUUUAGAGGAAGGAGAAGUCGUAACA
Molecule: ribosomal RNA, 327 nt
Filed under: uncultured eukaryote
Lineage: Eukaryota
Description: partial 18S ribosomal RNA
Rfam family: Eukaryotic small subunit ribosomal RNA
Source: RNAcentral